GGUGAUAUAGCUCAGUUGGUUAGAGCGCGGCACUCAUAAUGCUGAGGUCGGUGGUUCAAAUCCACUUAUCACCACCA
Molecule: transfer RNA, 77 nt
Filed under: Pseudomonadota bacterium
Lineage: Bacteria; Pseudomonadati; Pseudomonadota
Also listed under: 2 other names
Description: tRNA-Met
Rfam family: tRNA
About the family: Transfer RNA (tRNA) molecules are approximately 80 nucleotides in length. Their secondary structure includes four short double-helical elements and three loops (D, anti-codon, and T loops). Further hydrogen bonds mediate the characteristic L-shaped molecular structure. tRNAs have two regions of fundamental functional importance: the anti-codon, which is responsible for specific mRNA codon recognition, and the 3' end, to which the tRNAs corresponding amino acid is attached (by aminoacyl-tRNA synthetases). tRNAs cope with the degeneracy of the genetic code in two manners: having more than one tRNA (with a specific anti-codon) for a particular amino acid; and 'wobble' base-pairing, i.e. permitting non-standard base-pairing at the 3rd anti-codon position.
Source: RNAcentral